This 641-nucleotide long non-coding RNA is filed under the name Mytilus galloprovincialis (Mediterranean mussel). Lineage: Eukaryota; Metazoa; Mollusca; Bivalvia; Mytilida; Mytilidae. The record is from RNAcentral.
CUGCUCACUAACUUUAUGCUAUCAAAUGGACAGCUUUGCACUUUAAUAGAACCGAUCUUUCCAUCAUUGGUCAUAAAAUCCAACAUUUUAGUAUCGAAGGUAAAAUCCAAGCUGACUUUUUCUACAAGUUUAUUUUGAACCAUUGACUGAAUCCAUUGCUCAUUUUGAGUGAUGUUCUUCUGGAUUUUUUUCACACUAAGGAAUGAUUGUAUAUCGGAGGCAUUCUUCUUUAUGUUUUCGAUUUCUGCGUUGCACUAAAUCAUCUCUUCAUAAUUGAGCAUUGAGUGAGAAAACGAUUGAUUGGAUCUUAUCGGAACAUUCCGCUUCUACUUUGUCAAGUUCGGUCAUGAAAUCUUCUUGCAACCUAUCGAGGUACCGUGUAAUUGUUCCUAUAAAGCGACUUACAACUUCGAAGAUUUGUUGUCUUUUUUCACUUUGAAGAUUUUCAAAUUGGACUCCCUGUCGCUUCGGAUUCGGUUGAUAUUAACCAUUAAAUCGUUUACACUUUGUUCUAUUUCUCUGAACACUUCGGAUGAUUUCAUGCAGAGUGCAACGUCUUCAAGAAUUGUUAGUUCAUCGCAGUGUCCAUGUUCUUUGAUACAUUUGUAACAAAUAGGAACCUCGUGCUUUACACAGUAUUG